This 208-nucleotide ribosomal RNA is filed under the name uncultured bacterium. Its description in RNAcentral is "partial 16S ribosomal RNA". It matches the Rfam family "Bacterial small subunit ribosomal RNA", at positions 1286 to 1500 of the family's 1533-position model. The record is from RNAcentral.
UCUCAGUUCGGAUUGGAGUCUGNAACCCGACUCCAUGAAGCUGGAUUCGCUAGUAAUCGCGCAUCAGCCACGGCGCGGUGAAUACGUUCCCGGGCCCUUGUACACACCGCCCGUCAAGCCAUGGAAGCCGGGGGUGCCUGAAGUGCGCUGCCGCAAGGAGCGCCCUAGGGUAAAACCGGUGACUGGGGCUAAGUCGUAACAAGGUAGC